Molecule: long non-coding RNA, 1027 nt
Filed under: Fukomys damarensis (Damara mole-rat)
Lineage: Eukaryota; Metazoa; Chordata; Mammalia; Rodentia; Bathyergidae
Description: lncRNA (ENSFDAG00000028787.1)
Source: RNAcentral
AGAGGGUCAGUGGAAGCAAGGAGGUCAGUGGAUGGAUGGGAAGAUGGGUGGACAGGUGAAACGUCACAUGUACUAGAUGAGCCAGAGUAUCCUACCUAGUAUCCUCCAAGAGUGGUGCAGAGCACAGAGCAGUGGGGUUACCAUAUCUUAGGUGUGGAAGAGGCUUUGAAGGCUCACUAGUUAUCAUUUCUCAUUGUACAAGGAAGAAACAGUCUUCCCUCUCCCUCUGCCUAACCACUGAGAACAACAGAGUGUGUGACUGGCUUCCGUGGCAGGAGGAGCAGCUCUGUUUGCCUGGAGACCCUCCCACUGCCCCAGGACACUGAGAGGAGGGGCUGCUGUGCCUGUCUGUGCGGCCCUAACAUCAGCAUCCGAUGUCAACAGGGCGUUGAUGGGAGGACGGAGCGAGUGGAUCACAUAUGCGGGGAUCUUGGAGAAGAACGGAGGAUCUUGAGUAAACAAGAAGUGGAUGGGGGUGUCUCACCCCUCUGGAAAUCAUCUCCAAACCAAGCCCAGUUCACCCCCCAGAUGGCCUGACAGGAACAGACCUGGCAUCAUUCCUCCAUCAGUGAACAGAGUUAGUCUGUAAGCACCUGCAGGGUAGGGACAACCUCAGGAGUCCUGCAAGGCCAUCCCGGACACAGGACCCCCUGAUCUCAGGAAUGCAUUUCCACAGCCUUGGCUGAGCCCUCCCUGCUUGGUUUGUGCUGUCCCACCUCCCCGCUCUCUGUCUGUUUCCUUUCACAAGCUUGUUUCUUCAGCAACCCCAGGGAAUGAGACUAUAGCACAGCAAGUAGACCGUAGGCAGAAAUCCUCUGCAUUGUAAACAGGGUUGUAAAUGACACAAAUCACUGGGCUCAUCCUGCUUUGCUUUGGGUAUGCAUGUGUGUGCCUGUGAAUAGCAAUGUGAAACUCCAAGCAUACACGCUCACAUGCGGGAUCGUCUUCAAUGCCUGUGUGCUCAUCAGUGGUAUGCAGUACUGGGGUUAUUCCUGCACAAACUCUUCUGGAAAUAAAUAGAUGCCAU